GUUCUUUUCAAAGAACUCAUGGGAAUUUUAAGUGGUGACCCAUCAAGAAAGGGAAGAGUAAUGACACGGCUUUUGGUGAUACAGCAGUGUGUUGUGUUUUUUGGCAUCAGUCAGUAGUGUAACAAGG
RNAcentral lists this small nucleolar RNA (127 nucleotides) under Sorex araneus (European shrew). Lineage: Eukaryota; Metazoa; Chordata; Mammalia; Eulipotyphla; Soricidae. The record is from RNAcentral.